Oreochromis aureus is the source of this 1159-nucleotide long non-coding RNA. The record is from Ensembl. Lineage: Eukaryota; Metazoa; Chordata; Actinopteri; Cichliformes; Cichlidae.
ACACACACAGCUGCGUUAAGCUGAGCAAAAGGGGAGGUGGAAAAAUAAAGACAGAACAGCGAUGGCAGCAGUGACUGUUUCCAGCACCACCAAAGGCCUGUUCCUCAUGUUCACCCUGCUGUGUCUGGUUUGUCUUUCAAGUGCAGUGAUAGAUGAGAACCAACUGACUACAUGUAGCUGUCCUCGUAUGUCAGCACUGCGUAGGGUUUCCUGGAAUAGUUCCUGAAUAUUUUCCAGAAAAAAGCAGAGCACAGUGAGUGUGACAGCUGCUGAAGAACACAAUGAAAACCACAGCAAAAGAAGAGCAUUCUUACAGGAAGAGAUUAUUUAUGUCAAACUAAUGAACAAAGGUUAUUAAAUAUUAAUUUACCAGUUGGUCCUUGUGGGUCAGUGAACUUGAAAGAUCAAAUAGUUUUGUGAUUGUUUCCUUUCUAUAUUUGUCUUCUGCCUAACAGAAAAAAAUAAGAACAUUUAAAUUUACCAUAUUAUUCUACAUUGUAUGUAAUGCAAUCACUGUAGAUAGUGUAAAGUAAAAUGGAUUUAUUAAGGUAUUUUUUAAACUCUUCAUUUCUGCCUACACACAGCAGAUUUUAAAACUUGGAGACUGACUGACCCACCUUCCAUCUCUCUGCUUCUUUUAUUGCUUUCUUCAUCUGCUCAAGCAUCAUCUGUGUGACCCAUUGUAAAUAAAGAAAAAAAUUCAGCAGCUAAUGAGCUUGUGAUGACUUAGACUGUAUAUAUACAAAUAAGUGUGUAAUUGUUGAAUCAUAAAUGGGAAUUCAGCAAAAAUUAAUUCAUCACCUGGUCUUGGGUAUAGAGGGAACUUGCGACUGAAACAAGACACAGCAGAGAGAAGAUGAGUAAUAAGCCUUUGUUGGCUAAAGCUGGUCCCCUGGUAUUGGAAAAGGCUGCUGCUGCCAUCGCUCUUAGAACUGGAACAAACUCCCUGCUUAAAAAAGUUGAGAUGUCAUAGACAUUUAGAGUUAAUAAGUAACUGAAUAUAUAUAUAUAGAGAGAGAGAGAGAGAGAGAGAGAGUCAACAUUCUUUUCCACGUUGAUAUAAACUUAUUCUGUAAAUAUUAAUCAAAAUAAAUCAUAUUGUUGUGCAUGAUUACUCCUCUUACCUGCUGUGCGAACGUAAGAAGAGCUGCUGUACCAU